RNAcentral lists this long non-coding RNA (296 nucleotides) under Rosa chinensis. RNAcentral describes it as "sRNA RchiOBHm_Chr6g0259221". Lineage: Eukaryota; Viridiplantae; Streptophyta; Magnoliopsida; Rosales; Rosaceae. The record is from RNAcentral.
UUCUGGGUUUUUUUUUUUUUUUUUUUUUCAGGGGACUAGUUGCAGAGGGCUUAGGUUAAAGCUCGUGAACCCAACCAUCUUCUUUAUCUCUCUCCCUCUCUCUUUCUCCGAGUACUUGUGCUCCGUUUUUCUGUGUGUAAAGCUCCAACACGAAAGAUGGUGAUAUUUAUAUUAUCGACUGCGUACUCCAGUUUUGGACAGAUCAUCUAUUCAUUGUGUCUCAAAGUCAGUGAACUCUGAGAUGGAGUACAAUUACAUGUAUGCCCAUGUUGUGUUUCGUAAAUAACGAGGGAUGA